GCUGGCACGCUGCGAGUAAUAACUGUGCUUUAUAUAAUUUGAACUAUUUAGUUCUAUUUUCUCUUAAUGGCCGCAGCAAUCCCUACCUUGCAGGUACCCUAGUCAUAGGUAUUUGGGCAGGCGUUUAUUUAACGACGCCCUCUCUUCUUCCGCCCGCACUAAACGCCUGCUACGCAGGCUAGCCCGGAACUAAAUAUACUCAAACUUAUCUAGCUGGUAGUCAACAUGUGAAAGACAAAAUGGCAGACUUCGAGUUAAGAUCUUGGGAGGUAGUCUGCUACAGUCUUAUCCUUAUAAUAGGCGUGCUUGGAAACUCUACAGUAAUUCUAGUGAUCAGAAAAAGUGGCAGUUCACCGAAGCAUCGAUUUCGAGACGUUCCAUUCAAUGUCUACCUAAUGGCAUUAGCCAUAGUCGAUUUGGCUUUGUCUGUAGUAUGCCUACCUGUUUACAUUAUGAGUACGAACGCUUUUCCUCACCCUACUGGAAUAGGAGGCGAUAUAUUUUGUAAACUAAUCACUGGAAAUCUGCCUCAAUAUUGGUUGGCAGGAGUAUCUAUUUAUAUACUGGUUGUUAUUAGCUUCGAGAGGUAUGCAGCAAUUUCGAAGCCUUUUGAAACGCGUUUGGGCAUAACGACGAAGAAUUAUGUAUAUAUUGGUUUAGCAUGGUUCUUUGGAUUUGCAAGGGAGCUUCCAGUUUUAGUUGGAAUUCACUACACAGCUUCAAAUGCAACGGUCGGAACCAGUUGCCACUACUGGCCUGAGCAGCUGCCAAACAUAUUCAUAUACUCGUGUCUUUUCAUCAGCGAAUACCUACUUCCAGCCGUGAUUUUUGUUAUAAACUUUUAUCGCAUUAAGAAAUGUUUAAAUCGGCUAGAUUCAACGUUAAAAACUGCUCUCGGCGACGAAAGACAACGGGUUAAAAUUAUGAAAAGUAAAGAAAGGACUAUAAGAAUUGUAUUUAUAUUGUUAGUGACGUUUUUAAUCUGCUGGAUUCCGAAUAAUAUUAUGUAUUAGUCUAGGACCUGUAUAGGAGUUUGUAUGCGUUUCAUUUACCACAGGUAAUCUCAACUGUUUUAGGGUAAAAUGACCAUGGCGGUCAACAUGGCAUAUGUGCCAAAACCUGAAUCCGGGGCGAAAGUCCUGAAAAUGACCCCGCCCUGAAACGGCAGUGCCGACAUAGCUCUAACUUCCGAAAAGCAAAAGCGACAGCCUUUCUGAAGUGCUUAUAGUGUUUAGAAGGGUUGCUUUUAGGGGUGGUCAUUGGAAGGAAAAAUUUGUCUAAGUAUAAUGUUUUACCAGAAAAUGACUAUGCACCACCCCAGGUAAAUUGCUGAUUAUGCACAAAAUAACUAAUAUGCCUGGCAGAAAUUUAAUGGUCUUAUUUCCUAAAAAAAAUAAACAUGGGAUGAAAAACUAUGCUUAAUAUAAUAUAAUUAUUGUAGUUUUCAUAAGGACUGUCCUUCUUUUCUGUAAAUAUAAUACAUUUUAAUUCACUCACCCCCCACGAAAACACGAUUUCAGCCAUAUUUUGUCGUCUUGCUUGCUUUUUAUCGCCGAAUCUCGCACACAUCAUCCAAUUGUUGUACUUUCACAUAAUGAUAGAUGGCUAAAGAAGAUUUCAACAAAAUUUCAUGACGUUUUGAAACA
Non-coding RNA from Paramuricea clavata, 1646 nucleotides. Lineage: Eukaryota; Metazoa; Cnidaria; Anthozoa; Malacalcyonacea; Plexauridae. The record is from the annotation of a GenBank genome assembly.